Molecule: ribosomal RNA, 253 nt
Filed under: uncultured bacterium
Lineage: Bacteria
Description: partial 16S ribosomal RNA
Rfam family: Bacterial small subunit ribosomal RNA
Source: RNAcentral
UACGAAGGGUGCUAGCGUUGUUCGGAAUUACUGGGCGUAAAGCGCGCGUAGGCGGUUUAUCAAGUCAGAGGUGAAAUCCCUGGGCUCAACCCAGGAAUUGCCUUUGAAACUGUUAGACUUGAGUGUCGGAGGGGAUAGCGGAAUUGCUAAUGUAGAGGUGAAAUUCGUAGAUAUUAGCAGGAACACCGGUGGCGAAGGCGGCUAUCUGGACGACAACUGACGCUGAGGCGCGAAAGCGUGGGGAUCAAACAGG